GCAAACUUGGUCAUUUAGAGGAAGUAAAAGUCGUAACAAGGUAACCGUAGGUGAACCUGCGGUUGGAUCAUUAAUGAAAUUUUUAACUGAAAGGGUUAAACCUUUCUUUUAAACAAAAUAUGUGAAUUUGUGUAUUGUCUCUUUUGGUUGAUAACUUGGCUAAGGCUUUUUUUUCGACCAAAUGUUUAUGAACUUUACUUAAAAAUUGGUUAAAGAAAAAAAGAUUGUAUUUAACAAAAACAACUUUUGACAACGGAUCUCUAGGCUCUCGCAUCGAUGAAGAACGCAGC
This 290-nucleotide unclassified non-coding RNA is filed under the name uncultured fungus. Its description in RNAcentral is "partial contains small subunit ribosomal RNA, internal transcribed spacer 1, and 5.8S ribosomal RNA". The stretch from base 1 to 73 matches the Rfam family "Eukaryotic small subunit ribosomal RNA", at positions 1759 to 1831 of the family's 1831-position model. The record is from RNAcentral. Lineage: Eukaryota; Fungi.